This 265-nucleotide ribosomal RNA is filed under the name uncultured bacterium. RNAcentral describes it as "partial 16S ribosomal RNA". It matches the Rfam family "Bacterial small subunit ribosomal RNA", at positions 793 to 1055 of the family's 1533-position model. The record is from RNAcentral.
GUCCUGGCAGUAAACGGUGCACGCUUGGUGUGGCAGGAAUCGACCCCUGCCGUGCCGGAGCUAACGCGUUAAGCGUGCCGCCUGGGAAGUACGGUCGCAAGAUUAAACUCAAAGAAAUUGACGGGACCCGCACAAGCGGUGGAGUAUGUGGCUUAAUUCGAUGCAACGCGAAGAACCUUACCUGGGCUUGACAUGCAUUCUGUCAUCGGUGAAAGCCGGUUAGUGGAGCAAUCCACGGUUUGCACAGGUGUUGCAUGGCUGUCGU